This 216-nucleotide ribosomal RNA is filed under the name Glomeromycotina sp. Its description in RNAcentral is "partial small subunit ribosomal RNA". The stretch from base 40 to 216 matches the Rfam family "Eukaryotic small subunit ribosomal RNA", at positions 686 to 864 of the family's 1831-position model. Lineage: Eukaryota; Fungi; Glomeromycota. The record is from RNAcentral.
GGGUCAUGAGGCUGGUCGUGCCACCGGUACGUACUGGUCUCACUGAUUCCUCCUUCCUGAAGAACCGUAAUGCCAUUAAUUUGGUGUUGCGGGGAAACAGGACUGUUACUUUGAAAAAAUUAGAGUGUUUAAAGCAAGCUAACGCUUGAAUACAUUAGCUUGGAAUAAUGAAAUAGGACGAUCGAUCCUAUUUUGUUGGUUUCUAGGAUUGACGUA